This is a long non-coding RNA of Xenia sp. Carnegie-2017, 685 nucleotides long. RefSeq lists it as uncharacterized. NCBI's taxonomy places the organism in Eukaryota, Metazoa, Cnidaria, Anthozoa, Malacalcyonacea, Xeniidae. The record is from RefSeq and is a predicted model, not a curated record. The transcript has 2 exons.
UUAUUUUGUAUCAGUUAUACAAAAAAGAACAUAAAUCAGCAAGUUUGAACAAAGAGAAAAAGAAGAAGAUCUUCAACAUGAUGAAGCUGCUCCUUUUGACAAUUACUUCACUCACAAUAUGUUCUGCUAUUUUUGCGGAAAAUAGCAUCCAUGAAAAUGCUUCCCAAAUAUCGUUUCUCGAAGACAGAGAGAAAAUAGCGGACUACACGAAAAAAGGCAACAGAAAAAUGGUACAUAAAACGGAAGUAGAAGAGGACAACAUUUCUAAACGUCAGUGCUGCGGAAUGUGGGGAAAGAGAUCUAAAAAACAAAAAGGCUCAUCUUCUAAUGUCAAGUCCAUUUAUUCGCCGAAAAAUAAAGCAGAAAACCUUAGAAUGCAGAAACUAGGAUUUGUAUUAAGUCAAAAGGAUGAAUUACUUAAAAAUUUAUUACUUGGUCUGCUUGAGAAACAAGAUAAAGUAACAGUCUAAUGAAUUGUGCAUCAAAAAACAGUUAAGCACUUAAAUAUUUCAGGAAAAUGUAUGAACUAAACAUAAAUUGUAACUAAAAAAAUAAAUCAGAUAAUAAAAAUACUAUUCUAAGAAAAUUAUUAAACUACUAAUCAAAAUUUAAGGUAAAAUCACAGCAAUGAUACAGUUGAAUUUUUGUCAAAAAAAGCAUAAAAUAAAAAUAUAAAUUCAUGAUA